CUCGAGAUGCUCUACUCGUCCACUCGAUCGAGGUUCAGGGUUGACCCGGAGAGCGCUGCAGCUUGGAGGUCCUGCUCGCUGUUCCGCCCCCUUUUCUGCGUUUUCUCCAUAGUCCAACUAAAAUCAUCCAAGAAAUUGGCAGCCAUCUACGCCUACGCGGGCAUCUGUCCUAGGAUUGCAUCUGAAUUCGGAUUUCUCGCGAGCCUUGGCGUCCUCUCCGGACUCCAGGGGGAACAGAGCUAUGAUGAACGAGAUUCAGGAUGAGUCUGCAGUUGAUCCAGUUAUACUGAUUAACACUUUAUCAAUUGAUGAUGCCAAUAAUGGUGGCACUGGCAAAAAGAGGAAAUCAAAGUCCAAAGUGUGGGAGGAUUUCAUUCCUGUUUCAAGUGGUGGAAACAUUCAGAGUGCAAUAUGCAAACAUUGUGGGAAGCGCCUUAGUGGGAGAAGUUCUGGAGGAACAAGCCAUUUGGGCCGGCAUCUGAAGAUUUGUCCUGGGAGACCUGGGAAAAGUAUGGAGGGGCAAAAGAAUUCAUCUUCACAGACUAACCCAUCAAUCCUGCAGAACUGGGAAUUUGAUCAGGAGAAAUCAGUGGAAGACCUUACUAGCUUGAUAAUCUCCAACCUAUGCUCCUUCUCAAUAGUGAAAAGUACAAGUUUUAUCCAGUUUGUGGCUAGCAUUAAUCCUACUUUUAAUAUGGUCUCGCAAGCUACAAUUGAAGAAAAGCUUAUUGCUAUUUUUCAUAAGGAAAAGUUGAAGCUAAAAGAGAAAGUGACAAAUGCAUCCGGUGGAGUUUUUUUAUCUGUUGGAAUGUGGGGCCUUGUAUUUUCACCGACCUUUCGGUGCUUCACUGUGCAUUUCAUUGAUGAGAAAUGGAAGAUGAAUAGAAGAAUAAUAAGUUAUAGAUGUGCAGGAACUGAAAAUGAUGAGGAUCAUUACUAUAUCAGCAUGUUUCCUGAUUGGCAGUCCUUCUGCAAUUUAGGUGAUUCGGAUAAGACGAAACUGCAAGUAGUUAAAGAUUGGGGUAUUCAGCAGAACCUUUUAGGAUUGACAUCACAAGUACCGGUGGAUAAUGAAUUCAUAUCGGGCAUAGAGGCAAGUCUUUCAGGAAGCAAGUAUCUUCUUUCCAAAUUUAAGCUAUUAACUGUUCCUUGUUUGGUGGAUGCAUCGGAUAGGCUUUUCGGGUAUGAAACCAAGAAAAUUAUUCAGGAAACAAGUCGGUCUUACUUCUGCUACAUGACUGGCUCUUCAGUGCGUAAGCAGAAGUAUAACCAAAUUAUUUCAAGUAUGCACCUAAAGCAUCCAUCCUUUGGAUCUAAACAAUGGUACUCAACUUUCUACCUAUUGGAGGUCAUUUUGAAGUUCUGCAAGGCAUUUCCCGAUAUUGAUAUAACAGAUCGAUUGUAUUAUAAAGAACCAACAUCUGAGCAACUAGAAGCAGCAGAAGCUUUUUGCAAGAUUGGAAGACCGAUCUACCAUGCAACGAGGGUCAUUUGUAACCCUCAUAAUGCUUCCAAUAUGUACUUUGAUCCACUGUGGCGUUUGAGGAUUGUGUUGCAAGAAUCAUCUAGCAAACCUGACAUUAAAAGAGUCCUUGAUGUUGAGAAUAUGAACAGAAAUUUUCAGAAGCAUUGGGACAAAUGGUACCUAUGGCUGUCUGUAGCUGUGGUCCUGGAUCCAAGACAUAAGAUCAGGUUUGUAGAAUUUCGCUUUCGACAAGCUUUUGGUACCAGUGCUAAAAUGUACAUCUCUGAAGUUCGUGGGAAGAUAUGUGAACUCUUCACCAGUUAUUCUUGCCACACCCGUCAGAAAAGUAUCUUAGCUCGCACAAACAAUGAAUUAUCGCGGCAGGUGUCUGAUAGUUACUCAUUACGAGACACAAAUCAGAGCUACAAUGAGCUGAGUGAACAAGGGAAAUUUAAAGAACUUAACGAUUAUCUUGGAGGUGAACUUCAUCUGCAAAAUCAUGGAGAGUACUUCGGAGAGACAUUUGCUUCUGCAAAUGACGCUGCUUUCCAUGGAGAGCAAGUUUAUCGGCAAAAUGAUGAUUUUGAUAUUCUGAAAUGGUGGAAAGACAAUGAGUCAACAUAUCCAACUCUCGCUGCUAUUGCACGUGAUGUUCUAGCCAUACCUGGAUCCGCUGUUCCCUCUGAAGCUGCAUUUGAUGUUGCUGAUGAGCGGGCAAGGCUAUUCGAGACAGAGCUCAGUCCUCAAACAGCUGAAGCCCUUAUUUGCACUCAGAGUUGGAUUUCAUGAUGUGGAUUGUAACUUUAAUCUAUGGGGCAAUGCUAAGCUGUGGAGGUCUGCUAACUCAGAAGAUUCAGGGCGCCGUUUGCUUUGGAUCAAGGUUGAGAAGGUACAACAGUGCUGACUCUGUAUAAUCCUGGAGGCCAAAAAAGAGGCACAUCAUCGCAUGGUGAAAGAAGCACGAUGCAGUAUCUCCUCGCUAGUCACCCCUGAUGAAGAUGAUGAUAUUUGAUGUCCUGAUGUGGGACCUGACCUCAUGUUUGACUAGUUUCCCUCAGAUAGGGCUUUUGGUUAUGGCUAGAUUGUUAUAUGAGACUUUAUAUGGAUGUUGUUUAUGCUCAAUUCGUUAUCUUUCCUGCA
Triticum aestivum (bread wheat) is the source of this 2605-nucleotide RNA transcript. It is a transcript of the gene named zinc finger BED domain-containing protein RICESLEEPER 2, with no coding region annotated. Lineage: Eukaryota; Viridiplantae; Streptophyta; Magnoliopsida; Poales; Poaceae. The transcript is spliced from 4 exons. The record is from RefSeq and is a predicted model, not a curated record.